ACGAACGCUGGCGGCGUGCUUAACACCUGCAAGUCGCACGGAAAGGCCCUGCUUUUGUGGGGUGCCCGAGUGGCGAACGGGUGAGUAACACGUGAGUAACCUGCCCUUGACUUUGGGAUAACUUCAGGAAACUGGGGCUAAUACCGGAUAGGAGCUCCUGCUGCAUGGUGGGGGUUGGAAAGUUUCGGCGGUUGGGGAUGGACUCGCGGCUUAUCAGCUUGUUGGUGGGGUAGUGGCUUACCAAGGCUUUGACGGGUAGCCGGCCUGAGAGGGUGACCGGCCACAUUGGGACUGAGAUACGGCCCAGACUCCUACGGGAGGCAGCAGUGGGGAAUAUUGCACAAUGGGCGGAAGCCUGAUGCAGCAACGCCGCGUGCGGGAUGACGGCCUUCGGGUUGUAAACCGCUUUCGCCUGUGACGAAGCGUGAGUGACGGUAAUGGGUAAAGAAGCACCGGCUAACUACGUG
RNAcentral lists this ribosomal RNA (467 nucleotides) under uncultured bacterium. RNAcentral describes it as "partial 16S ribosomal RNA". It matches the Rfam family "Bacterial small subunit ribosomal RNA", at positions 29 to 507 of the family's 1533-position model. The record is from RNAcentral.